RNAcentral lists this long non-coding RNA (789 nucleotides) under Ananas comosus (pineapple). RNAcentral describes it as "long non-coding RNA (ACOM_LNC011438)". Lineage: Eukaryota; Viridiplantae; Streptophyta; Magnoliopsida; Poales; Bromeliaceae. The record is from RNAcentral.
CAAAAUCAAUUGGGUGAAAUGCAUAUCGGUACCUGCAAAUAUAAUAAAUUAUAAAUAUGUUCUUAUAAAGCUCAAUUUCCAUGUGUUGUUUUUAUCAAAGUUCUAAUAUUUUCAAAUACGCCUCUCUGGUUUGUUACCGUUGGAGAACUAUUUAUAUUUUAACAGUAAAUAAAUGAAAUAUCAAUUUUGCUAUCAUAAAAAUGUCCCUCCAAAAAUCACAAUAGUAUAAUAUAAGAGAGAUAAAAAUGACAAGUUAUCUCAUAAACUAAUUGGGUUAAGUAUUUAACCUAUGGUUAACUAAAAUUUUCUAAUAGAUUCUAACGGUAGGAAUAUAUUUAAAAAUACUAAGACUUUUAUAGUAACAAAAUAUAAAAGUUAAAUUUUAUAAAAAUAUAUUUAUAAUUUAUUAUAUUUACAGAAACUUAUAUGCAAUUAAUCUAAAUCAAUUCAAUACUUAGAAAAUAUAUAUCUAUCAAUUGGUCUAUCAGUUAAUAGAUUCAUGGUACCCGAAUUGUUCUGCCUUGACAUAAUUAGAAAUUUUACUGCAAAGACUUUUGUUGGCGACACACACGCGGCGCUAAUUCAUUAGCUAUCAUUGUUUUUCUUUUUCAGCUUACUUUUGGUUUUACCGACCGUCCCUAGAGCAAGUGACAAAGAGUUUGGUGGUUGGUAUCUGAGACCCAAGUUCGAAUCCUAGUUGAUUCACAUUUCUAGCUAAGUUUAUUUUCUAAAUAAAAUAAACGAAACAGAUAGCGUGCGACGUAUCUCUUCAAAAAAAAAAAAAAAAAA